This 253-nucleotide ribosomal RNA is filed under the name uncultured bacterium. Its description in RNAcentral is "partial 16S ribosomal RNA". It matches the Rfam family "Bacterial small subunit ribosomal RNA", at positions 524 to 776 of the family's 1533-position model. The record is from RNAcentral.
UACGAAGGGGGCUAGCGUUGCUCGGAAUCACUGGGCGUAAAGCGCACGUAGGCGGACUCUUAAGUCGGGGGUGAAAUCCUGGAGCUCAACUCCAGAACUGCCUUCGAUACUGGGAGUCUUGAGUUCGGGAGAGGUGAGUGGAACUGCGAGUGUAGAGGUGAAAUUCGUAGAUAUUCGCAAGAACACCAGUGGCGAAGGCGGCUCACUGGCCCAUUACUGACGCUGAGGCACGAAAGCGUGGGGAGCAAACAGG